This 432-nucleotide ribosomal RNA is filed under the name uncultured bacterium. RNAcentral describes it as "partial 16S ribosomal RNA". It matches the Rfam family "Bacterial small subunit ribosomal RNA", at positions 29 to 507 of the family's 1533-position model. The record is from RNAcentral.
AACGAACGCUGGCGGCAUGCCUAACACAUGCAAGUCGAACGAGACCUUCGGGUCUAGUGGCGCACGGGUGCGUAACGCGUGGGAACCUGCCCUUAGGUUCGGAAUAACUCCCCGAAAGGGGUGCUAAUACCGGAUAAUGUCUUCGGACCAAAGAUUUAUCGCCUUUGGAUGGGCCCGCGUUGGAUUGCUUGUUGGUAGGGUAAAAGCCUACCAAGGCGACGAUCCAUAGCUGGUCUGAGAGGAUGAUCAGCCACACCGGGACUGAGACACGGCCCAGACUCCUACGGGAGGCAGCAGUGGGGAAUAUUGGACAAUGGGCGAAAGCCUGAUCCAGCAAUGCCGCGUGAGUGAUGAAGGCCUUAGGGUUGUAAAGCUCUUUUACCCGGGAUGAUAAUGACAGUACCGGGAGAAUAAGCUCCGGCUAACUCCGUG